AAACGACUCUCGGCAACGGAUAUCUCGGCUCUCGCAUCGAUGAAGAACGUAGCGAAAUGCGAUACUUGGUGUGAAUUGCAGAAUCCCGCGAACCAUCGAGUCUUUGAACGCAAGUUGCGCCCGAAGCCAUUAGGUUGAGGGCACGCCUGCCUGGGCGUCUCACGUUGCGU
This 170-nucleotide ribosomal RNA is filed under the name Camellia sinensis var. assamica. Its description in RNAcentral is "5.8S ribosomal RNA". It matches the Rfam family "5.8S ribosomal RNA". From Rfam's summary of the family: 5.8S ribosomal RNA (5.8S rRNA) is a component of the large subunit of the eukaryotic ribosome. It is transcribed by RNA polymerase I as part of the 45S precursor that also contains 18S and 28S rRNA. Lineage: Eukaryota; Viridiplantae; Streptophyta; Magnoliopsida; Ericales; Theaceae. The record is from RNAcentral.